Molecule: long non-coding RNA, 224 nt
Filed under: Penaeus japonicus
Lineage: Eukaryota; Metazoa; Arthropoda; Malacostraca; Decapoda; Penaeidae
Description: uncharacterized LOC122243573
Source: RNAcentral
GCCCACCAACACGCCGCCCAUCCUGGAACCGAUGAGAGUUGGAGAAUCUAAGGUUAAUAGCUCAUUCGCAGGUUUUAAUGAUAGACCUAUAAGUCAUGCUCUCAGCCUUAAUGACCAGGUCAGCAUCACCACCGAGACUCCGCCCACCGAGAAGGACCCAGGGAGCUUUCACGACUCAGACGUGUCAGAUGCUGAGGGCAGCACAGAACCCAAGGAUCAUAAGG